CUUCCCUCAUUGGGAACAUACCAGGGAGACUUAAGCAUCAGUAGUGCACUCGGUGAAGUCCCAUAGUAGAGAAGUGAUGUGAGACGAGUUGUACAGGGGAGCAUACAGAAAUGCUGAGGAACUGCUCAGAAACAUGGACAUCACUGAGGUUGGGGAAGACAUGAUGGAUGACUCCAGCAGUGCACCUAGGCUGUAUUUCCCAUGGGUAACGAGUGAGCUCAGUCCAGCAGCCCAUUGGAUUUCUUCCAUUGACUUUGGUCCCUUGCUUGUGCUCUAUUUCUUCUGAAAAUAAGACCUCUCUUUUAUUUCUCUGUUUGUGCUUUUACUGAACACAGAAGCAGGGAAAAAAGAAUGACUGGCAGGUGUCCUAAGUGUAUAGUGAGUUGCGUGCUCGUAGCUCAGUCUGACGGUGAAGGUCGGUAAAUGGAGUCUUAUGACUCACUGCCACUACAUGGCGGGCAAUGCAUGGCACUGACAACUCCACUCUGGUUGGGAAAUGGUAGAAUCAGGCUGCAGAAAGGGACUCUUCUGCCUGUGCUGUAUGGGGGUUUGCAGUCAGCAGAGGAUCCUGAGUAGGAGAGUGGCUGAGCAACAGAGCUGGUCAUCAAGGCUUUUUAUUCUCGUGAGCUCUGGGAAGGGCAGAGUGUACAAGGGCGUGCUCAGGGCAAGUGAAGCAUUUUAAAAGCUUUUGGAUUGGAUGUUUUUCUUUUUUUCAGUGCUCCAAAAGUAAAAGGAAGAAUGAAUUGGAUUUCUCUGAUGGAUGUUCUUAAAGGCUCACAAUAACAGGCAAGCUGUCUGGAGAUCACCUGCACUUGUGAGCAGCGAUAGUGAGAGGGAUGAAGCCAUUUCUGCUACUAUUAGAGUUAAUGGGGGACAUGACUGGGCAGGAACCAUCCCAGGAGUGGACCUACAAAGGUAAAGUAUUCCCUAUGUCAAUGUUCUCUGUCUCUAGGAUAGAGAACAUUAUUAUGCUUCUGGCCCGACACUUGUUUAUGUAAAAUAAGUCUCAAAGGAGAGAGAGCAGCUCAGUGUUUGCUUCCCAAUAUUGCAGCCUUACCUGCAGCAAAUUGCUGCAAGACACAGGGCCCCUGGCAGUGAGGGGUGUCCUCAGCAAUGGAG
This 1119-nucleotide long non-coding RNA is filed under the name Gallus gallus (chicken). RNAcentral's name for it is "lncRNA (ENSGALG00010003194.1)". The record is from RNAcentral. Lineage: Eukaryota; Metazoa; Chordata; Aves; Galliformes; Phasianidae.